RNAcentral lists this long non-coding RNA (4439 nucleotides) under Sus scrofa (pig). Its description in RNAcentral is "lncRNA (ENSSSCG00025037287.1)". The record is from RNAcentral. Lineage: Eukaryota; Metazoa; Chordata; Mammalia; Artiodactyla; Suidae.
AAACUCUGGGGUUCCUCCUCUCGGAGAUGCCCCACCUUCGCCCCUGCUGGAGAUUCGCUGGGAAUCAGCUCUGUUCCGUAGCUAGAUUACAAGCCGCUGGAGAGCAAGUGAGCACCCUCUGUGUCAACCCUCCUCUGCGUCCUCCCGCGUGCCUGUGCGGUGCCUUGCACGCUGCAGCAUCGUUAUUUUUUAUUGCUGCAGGUGCUAAAUAAAUCCUCAGUGACUGAGCUCAGAGCCAAACACAUUUAUCCUUGUCAUCGCUCCAAUUCUGUGUGGCUGGGAUGGAGCCCAAAGCACUGGAGACGCAAUAAAUCUCUUCUUUGGGCCCCACCCAUUUCUCCACCAAGCAGAUGUGGUUGCCGGGAGCCAAGGUGGGGGUGCUGGGCUGAGGCCCUCUGAGUUGGGAGUCCUGGAGAAGGGCUGGUCGGCUUCACAAACUCUCUUCCCAGGAGGUGUGAGAGUUGGCUUUUGGCAGUGAUUGCCCCAGAAGGAAGGGAUGAGGCCCUGACCAGUUCCAAAGGCAUCAGGUAAGCGCCAUGCCUGGCCUCAGCCGUGCCUCGGCCCUUCCAUCCCCAUCACCAUGAGCCGGGACAACUCACGUCACAGCUGGGGCCUCAUCUUCCCCGCCCACGAAAGGGAUACUAGCUCCUAUAUUUUGGAUUCUCGUGAGGAAACAAAUGAGAUUAUGCAUGUAUAACCCAACACAGAGCAAGAGCUUAUAAGGAUCCAGUGGCCCCUCUUAAAAUGGUUUGAAAGUCCAAAGCCAGGCCUAAAUCAGUAAGUGGCCUCCAGGGGGCUCAGAGUUCAGGGCUGGCUUAGUGCCUAGGACCCUUCCCCAGCCAUCCAGGCGGCUGGGGAUGUAACAGCAUUUAAAGCCAGCUCUGGUUCUGACAUGGAUGGGGCCGUUCUUUCCCCUGUUUGCUGCAACCUUGAGUGGAUUUGUGAAGCAGAAGCAGCACCCGUCAGGGCACAGAAGAGUAAGGCUGUGUUCAAGGCCACCCAGCAUGAAAAAUGGCUGCACGGGGGCCAGAUGCUGCGGAGUUACUGCGCUGGGAGAGAAUUCAGCAUCCCUCCUAAGUCUCACCCCGAUUUUGCUUUGCAGACUCUGGAAUUUUCCAUUCCAUUUGUUUAAUGCCAUUUGCAGGGAAGGCUUCCCAGUGCAUCUCGGGAAGGAAUGUGCUGAUGGUACUAUAUACAAACUUGCUUCUCCCCCGUCUUAGCCACACUAAGCGCCACGCCUUUAAGUAAUUGUGACACAUUCUUCUCAGGAUAUUUGAGGCACCGGGCAGAAGCCCUUGUGGCCUCCUUGCAGCUGCGUUCCUCCCAGACGGGGACCAUGUCCCAGAGCUGGGGGCUGACUUGAAGGGGAAGUGUUUCUACCAAAUUUUGUGGGUGAUUUGGAGCCUCCUGUGCGUUCCCGUUUUUUGUUCUUCAAAAUGCGGGGGGAGAAGGCUAGCUCCACUGGGGGCCGAGCGAAUGUUUCUUGACAUGAGGAUGCUUGGUGAUGGCCGCUGGAGGAACACAGCUGGGGAUGGCGUGCAGCCAUUUAGACACACUGGAGUUUCGCUUUUGACCUUUGGCUUCCACACAAGAUUGAGGAUAGAACACUUUUUCAAAGUCAUUUUCUAUUUACCUCACUAGUUCAAGGGCCAUGGUGAAAGCGGGGAAUCCAAAGUCUACCUAGACUCCUAGUUCUUAUUUUGAUUUAUGCCAGUGGUUUGUAGCUUGUUUGUGUAACAAAUAUUUUGUAAACUCCCUUUAAUAUCCCAAAUGAAAUUCAUGGAUUAUGUAAGCCAUCUGUAUACAUUUUAAAAAUAUCUAUGUAACACUCUAACACGGAGUUUUUAGUUGUAUUUGGCUUUACCCACAGCAUAGGCAAGUUCCAGGUACAGGGCUCUGAUCCGAGCCACAGCUGCAACCUGUGCCAGAUCCUUACCCACUGCACCACAAUAGGAAUGCUGAACACAAGAGUUUUUAACAUGAGAACUACUGACAUGGAGCCGUGGAACUUUACUUUUUUUUAAUGGCCAUUGCAUCCAGCAGCUUGAUGUGGGAUCUCAGUUCUCAGACCAGGAAUUGAACCUGUGCCCCUGAAGUGCACAUGCCAAAUCCUAACCACUACACCAUCAGGGAACUCCCAGCCAUGGAUCUCUUCAAGUGCCAUCCUGGGCCCCUUGUAGGAGGCUUAGCAGUUCCCAGGCUAGGGGUUGAGUCGGAGCUGUAGCCACCAGCCUGCGCCAUAGCCACAGCAACAUGGGAUCCAAGCCGCAUCUGUGACCUACACCACAGCUCACAGCAACGCCAGAUCGUUAACCCACUGAGCGAGACCAAGGAUUGAACCCAAAACCUCAUGAUUCCUAGUCGGAUUCAUUAACCACUGAGUCACAAUGGGAACUCCUAGAACUCAUUUUUUGAAUUAUUAUGUUCUAAGUAUUGCUGAUUUACAUCUGUAGUGAGUUUAAUCUGGGAGAACAUUCAAAAGUCACAUGGGACAUGAAACAAUUCUUUGUCGUAUGAGAAUCUCCCAAAUAUUGCAGAAUAUUUGGCUUCCUCUCCAUCCCCAAAUACCCAUGUGCAUGUCAACCCCAAACUACAUGCACUAAUUUCAAAAAUGCCCCCUCUGGGGCACCACAGCUCAGAUGUGAAUCACUGGCACCCAAGGUCUAAUUGACGAGCACCCACUUUGGAUGGACACAGACCCAUACGUCCCUCCCACCAGCUGGUGUUUAGGGCACAAAACAGCUAUUUUUAGUAUCUCCAUUGAGAAUAUCUUUACUACCUCUAAUACACUUUUCCAUACAAUUUUUAUUCAUCAUAACUCACUCAAUUAAACCUUGAUGAAUGGUAUUACAAGGUAAUAUUUGUCAAGAGUUCCCUGUAUGUCAGACCCUGGAUAUGUUAGCUGUGUUACUUCGUUCAAACUUUACAGUAACCCCUUGAGGUAGAUACUAUCAUUAGCCACGUUUAUAGACAAGAGUUUCAGUAACUUGGUCUAAAGUGACCCAACUAAUGAGUGGCAGAAGCAGAAAAUUUGAGCCCUGGCUCUUAAACUAUUUGCUACACUAUUUCACCAGAACUGUCUUCUCUGUAUUCAAUUUAAGUAAAAAAAAGCAAAUAGCAAACCCACGCAUCUAUGGUCAAUUAAUCUUUGACAAAGGAGGCAAGAAUAUACAGUGGCGAAAGGAUAAUCUCUUCAGCAAGUGGUUUUGGGAAAGCUGGACAGCUGCAUGUAAAUCAAUGAAGUUAGAACACACCCUCACACCAUCCACAAAAAUAAAGAUCAAAAUGGCUUAAAGACUUAAGACAUGACAAAACUCCUAGAAGAAAACACAGGUAAAACCUUCUCUGACAUAAAUCAUGGCAGUGUUUUCUUGGUUCAGUCUCGCAAAGCAAUAGAAAUAAAGCAAAAAAAAAAAAAAAAAAAAAAACAAAUGAGACCAAUCAAAUUUAUAAGCUUUUGUAUAGCAAAGGAAACCAUACCAUAAACAAAACAAAAAGACCUCCUAAGGACUGGGAGAAAACAUUUGCAAAUGAUGCCACCGACAAGGGCUUAAUUUCCAAAAUAUACAAAUAGCUCAUACAAUUCAAUAACAAAAUCCCCUAAAUAACCCAGUCAAAAAUUGGACAGAAGACCUAAAUAGACAUUUCUUCAAAGAACAGACAGAUGGCCAAGUUCGUGAAAGCUGUUCAACAUCACUAAUUAUUAGAGAAAGGCAAAUCAAAGCUACACAGAGGUAUCAACUCACACCAGCCAUAAUGGCCAUCAUCAAAAAGCCUGCAAAUAACAAGUGCUGGAGAGGGUGUGGAGAAAAGGGAACCCUCCUACACUGUUGGUGGGAAUGUAAAUUGGGACAAGCACUAAAGAAAACAGUAUGGAGGUUCCUCAAAAAACUAAAUAUAGAACUACCAUAUGACCCAGCAAUCCCACUCCUGGGCAUAUAUCCAGAAAAAACAAUAAUUCAAAAAAGAUACACGCACCUGCAGUGUUCAGAGCAACACUAUUUACAAUAGCCAAGACAUGGAAACAAUCUAAAUGUCCAUUGACAGAUGAACAGAUAAAGAUGUGGUGUGUGCAUAUACAUACACAUAUAUAUGAAAGAAUGAAAAAUGCCAUUUGCAACAUGAAUGGACCUAGAGAUUGUCAUUUUAAGUGAAGUCAGACUGAGAAAGGCAAAUAUCAUAUGAUAUCACUUACAUGUGGAAUCUAAAAUAUGAUACAAGUGAACCUAUUUAUAAAAUAGAAAUAGAGGAAUUCCCACUGUGGCACAAUGGCAUGGGCAGUGUCUCUGCAGUGCCAGGAUUCAGGUUCAAUCCCCAGCCUGUCACAGUGGGUUAAAGGAUCCAGGGUUGCCACAGCUGUAGCAUAGGUCGCAACUGCGGCUCAGAUCCCAUCCCUGGCCCAGGAAUUCCAAAAAAAAAAGAAAAAAAAAAAAGAAAAA